GACGAACGCUGGCGGCGUGCUUAACACAUGCCAGUCGAACGGAAAGGCCCUGCUUUUGUGGGGUGCUCGAGUGGCGAACGGGUGAGUAACACGUGAGUAACCUGCCCUUGACUUUGGGAUAACUUCAGGAAACUGGGGCUAAUACCGGAUAGGAGCUCCUGCUGCAUGGUGGGGGUUGGAAAGUUUCGGCGGUUGGGGAUGGACUCGCGGCUUAUCAGCUUGUUGGUGGGGUAGUGGCUUACCAAGGCUUUGACGGGUAGCCGGCCUGAGAGGGUGACCGGCCACAUUGGGACUGAGGUACGGCCCAGACUCCUACGGGAGGCAGCAGGGGGGAAUAUUGCACAAUGGGCGGAAGCCUGAUGCAGCAACGCCGCGUGCGGGAUGACGGCCUUCGGGUUGUAAACCGCUUUCGCCUGUGACGAAGCGUGAGUGACGGUAAUGGGUAAAGAAGCACCGGCUAACUACGUG
This 468-nucleotide ribosomal RNA is filed under the name uncultured bacterium. RNAcentral describes it as "partial 16S ribosomal RNA". It matches the Rfam family "Bacterial small subunit ribosomal RNA", at positions 28 to 507 of the family's 1533-position model. The record is from RNAcentral.